Long non-coding RNA from Gadus macrocephalus (Pacific cod), 334 nucleotides. RefSeq lists it as uncharacterized. The record is from RefSeq and is a predicted model, not a curated record. Lineage: Eukaryota; Metazoa; Chordata; Actinopteri; Gadiformes; Gadidae. The transcript is spliced from 2 exons.
GUUUACUUCUGUAAAGGUCAUCAGAGAUGCACCUUACAGGCUAGAAGACCAGUAGGUGGUCUACAGUAUCCUCCAGAAGGGGGCGUUUCACCAGUCUUCUGAGACGCGAGAGGUAGUACGAGAGAUUAUUUUUACAAAAAAGGGACAAAAUAAUAGUAAAAAAAAGAACUAGCGACCACAUGGUUAUGUUUAGCACGAGGACAGGUCUGAUCAGGGACCACUGCGGUAGCCGUUUCAGUUCCACACCAUCUUCAUCACACAGGAGCAGUGGUCUUACCUUGGGAUCGUAGUCGGGGUCGUUCUCCUCAUCAGCCUCUUCCUCUCCCUCCUUAUA